Molecule: long non-coding RNA, 2402 nt
Organism: Astatotilapia calliptera (eastern happy)
Lineage: Eukaryota; Metazoa; Chordata; Actinopteri; Cichliformes; Cichlidae
Source: Ensembl
UUUUUGAACUUCUGUAUGAGUUUAGAAACAAAAGAAAUGCACUUGGUAAUAUUUGAUACAACCUUCCAGAAUAUCUACAUUUACAGUAUUUUACUAAUGUACAGUAUUUACUUGACAAAGGGGAUUUCCACUGCUGCUUGUGACAUACUUGUUUUAAGCGCAAAUGUGAUUUUUCUUUAAGAAAGCACAAAUUUCUUUGGUGGGGUGAAAUGACUAAAACAUUUUUUUCAGAUGUCAGCUUGAAAUGUAAAAAAAACAAAGCUUCCAUUAUUGACAGUUCUCAUCAAAUAAGUACAAAGAUUGCGAAGAGUAUUUCCUCUUCCUCAGCUUUUUCCUCGACAGUUUUUUAUCUAUUCUGAGACAACGUUGCCAAACCAAAACUGCACAGACUCGAUGCUCGUGAAAGAAUAGCUGAGAGGGGAAACUCAGAGGACACAAACUUUCAUCAUGCAACUGCCAGAAUUGACUUUGUUACUCAGAUCGUGUCAAAUAAUUUUGUUCUGCUUUAGUGAAAGUGUAGUCUGUCUGCUUCUGUGAUUCUUUCGUAUCCAGAGUUUAGAUGCAGGCUUGCCUGGUUUACGUUCUGCCACAACCACCUACCUGUUUUUCUGCUUGUGGAGACAAAAGCACAGCAACACUCAGAGCCUGACUCACUCGCUGUGUGUGCGGCGGUACAUCAGAGAUAAAGAGGCGGUCAAAGAGCACAGAGAGGAAACUCUACAAACUCUAGAGGACAAAAUGUUUGGAAGCUACUGUCACGUGUUUUCCACAAAUUAUCAGACCGAAUGAUCAAAUCUGAGACCUUCCAGCGAAAUCAGUGGAUACUUGAAGAAAAAAGCACAUAACAUAAACAGAUGCUAAAUCAGACUACAACGUCGAAUUCGCUAGAAACCAUUUUUUUCCCUCCCGGAUACUUUUGAUGCUGUGAGAUACUUGUGCUUUCUGAACAGUAGGCAUAUAAUUUUGAAAAACAAGCAAAAGAAAUAUACUGGACUCUAAAUUAAAGUUUUUUCCAACACAUACAGACUAGGGCUAGGCUGUUUUCCGUUAACAUUACUUAUAUGAAGAAGCUCGCUUCAAUUCUUAACACGUUUAAUGUUUAACUGGUCGUUUUUGUCUAUGUGAUGUUAUUUUAUACAAGUGUACCAGACUAUGAUCUUUGUAUGUGUUUCAGUGGGGCGUUUGGGGUCAGUCGAUUAAAAGUGCCAGUUUAUUUACCUUGAAAAAAACAAAAGGGAAAGUAAACGCCAAAUUUUUUGAUAUUGUGAUGGGAAACUUCAAUCUGAACAUAUCUACAUUGGCCUUCAAAACCUGUCAGUCAAACCCCAGUGCCUACAAAUGUCAAUACACACGCAAACACAAGUAUACGCUCUUACUUUUCCUUCUAGGUAGAUCAGUGCCCUCUUUCCCUCUUUGUUUUGUUUGUAUCAGUGUGAUAAGUUUGCUGUUUGCUUUUCAAUCCGCACAAAGACGGAAAUCCAGCGGAUCCCAGAACAGUUUCCGAAGAAACACUGAGCAAAGUUUGGAUCUGUUUGGAUGCCCGCUAAACUGAGGACUUUAAUUUCUAUAGAGUCAAACUUAAGCACAAGUCCUUGUUUGCCCGGUUUGUUCUUUUUUUUUUUUUUUUUUUUUUUCUUUGGGGUGGGUGAUGUGAGGAGAAAGCGUUUACAAGAGUCAAAAAGUCAGGAAUAAAACCACUGCACGGUGGUCACUUUACGCAAAAUAACUUGAACCGCUGGUUUUUGCAAACUGUCUUCAUGUGUUUUGAUUACGUGAUGUAAGCUUGUCGUUUGCCUCAGCUUCCUGGUUGUGGAAAAUGUGAACAGGCUUUGAACAGCAGCGGUAGCUCCCACUGGACGCGAACACAUCGUUGGAUUUUGUAUGACGCUCCUGUUUCGAUUGAGCUUGUUUCAGAUUAUGAAUUUGAAAUAAUAAUAGUUAAUUUUGGUUUGUCCUUCCAGGAAGCCUGAGCUGUGUCACCCUGCCAUCUUGACUUAGAUGUUGGCCAUAUUUGUUCCUAUGGAUACUUGGGUGUUUGUGUGUGUGAUGAGAGAGGUUGGGAGGAGGCAUCUGUAUGUAGCUCUUUACAUAAAAAAGAAACUUUAUUAAAAAAAAUAAAUUAAAAAAAACAGUUCGGUGGAGCAUGGAUACUCAUGCCUCUCCAGGAAAGAGUCCAGCAGAGCAGUGAGAGAAACAGAGGGACGAAAAAAAGUAUAUAUAUUAUUCUAUAUUGUGCAGAAUAUUUAUAGGCCUUUUGUGCCAUUGAAGUCAUGCUCUGUGCUGGCCACGCCCAGCGCUCUCUACCAUGUGAUCAUUAUACAUCGUCUUGUACUGAUGACCCGUGGUUGAUUUGUUUUUUCAUGUCAAGUGCAUUUUUCGCAAUAAAUGCCUUUGUUUUAAAA